ACCUAACAAAAAUCAGCAAUAACAAAAUAGAAAUUCGAACCUUUUGAGAGUUGCAGCGAACAAAGCAGUCAGGCAGAGGCGAUUGUCGUGAAUCCAAUUAUGGAAGAGGGAGAGAGGAAGGCUGCUGUAACUUGUAAGCAAGAGGGAGAGAAUCAGAGAAGAGAACAGAGAAGGAGAGAGGCUGGAUGGAAGAGAGAAGAAGAAAGAGAAA
RNAcentral lists this long non-coding RNA (211 nucleotides) under Cicer arietinum (chickpea). Its description in RNAcentral is "long non-coding RNA (CARI_LNC003415)". Lineage: Eukaryota; Viridiplantae; Streptophyta; Magnoliopsida; Fabales; Fabaceae. The record is from RNAcentral.